CCACACUUCUUUUGAUGCAGCCCAGAAUACAGUUGGAUUUCUGGACUGUGAGGGUGCAUAUCUGGCUCACAUCCAACUUGCCAUCCUCCAGUACCCCCUAGUCCUUUAUGGUAGGGCUGACCUCAAUCCUUUCAUCCCUCAGUUUGUAUUGGUGGUGAGGGUUGCCGUGAUCCAGGUGUGUCAUCUGCAAACUUGCUGAAAGUGCACUUGAUCCUACUGUCACUGUCAUCGAUGAAGAUGUUAAAGAGCAUCAGCCCCAGUACUGAACUCUGUGGGACACACUUGUCACCAGUCUUCAUCCAAACGUCCAGUUAUCGACCACCACUCUCGAGCUGCCAUGCUUCUGUACAGUUUACUAACUUCAAUGCAUCAACAACUGAAGAUUAUUCAACCAAAAUCUCUGUGUAUUUUGUACAGAACAAAUCUUAUGUAAUCCCAGGACUACUGGACUUUAUCAAGGCAAAUACUUUGUGGAACCAUACUUUUUUGUUGUUGUUGUUGUUGGCUCAGUUUGCAAGAGUGGUAGAAAAAUAUGCAGUGUAAUAAGUAGAACUGAACUGAAGCAGGUGUAAGAAUGGCAUUAUGACAUUUUCACAACAUUUCUAAUUUGAGAGCCAAAUUUUCCCUCUCUUUGAGAUCCUGUGGUAUUCUGACUGAUAUAUAUAUGCAUAUAUUUGGUGCAGAUCCUUAUCCCUGCAAGAAUCCCAAGAGGAAAUAACACUUCUUUAAUUGUAAAUAUUGAAGACUUGCCAAGAUGGCAGUAGUACAGCUUCAGAAACAAUAAGUCCUUCUCUAAAAGCAUUGUACAAAAUGGUGCAUCGUGAAAUCUUUUGCCUCCUUAUCCUCUAGCAGUAUUUAUAGAUGUUAUAUUUUUAAAUGUAAUGGGUUUUGUUUUUGUUUGUUUGUUAGUUUUUAAAGAGUUAAGACAAAAACAAAAUGAAAAUUCUCUCACCAGACUAAUGCAUAGCUUACCAUUAAGGGUAAUGGCUUUUGAUGAGGAGGAACCUCAUGCUGAAACAGAUUCCUGGAGUUACAUAACCACUUGCGCGAACAUUAAAUCAUUUAAACAUUAAAGCAAAAAGAAUGGUACAUAUUCGUAAGAAGGAUCCACAAAAAGAAGUCUGAAACACCACUGAGACCAUUUAAUUUAGAGCUGAAAAACUGAAGGACACUCCAGAAUUAUGCAGUUAA
Coturnix japonica (Japanese quail) is the source of this 1191-nucleotide non-coding RNA. The record is from RefSeq and is a predicted model, not a curated record. Lineage: Eukaryota; Metazoa; Chordata; Aves; Galliformes; Phasianidae.